This 490-nucleotide ribosomal RNA is filed under the name uncultured bacterium. RNAcentral's name for it is "partial 16S ribosomal RNA". It matches the Rfam family "Bacterial small subunit ribosomal RNA", at positions 28 to 507 of the family's 1533-position model. The record is from RNAcentral.
GAUGAACGCUAGCUACAGGCUUAACACAAGCAAGUCGAGGGGCAGCGGGAUUGAAGCUUGCUUCAAUUGCCGGCGACCGGCGCACGGGUGAGUAACGCGUAUCCAACCUUCCGUACACUCAGGGAUAGCCUUUCGAAAGAAAGAUUAAUACCUGAUGGUAUGAUGAGAUUGCAUGAUAUCAUCAUUAAAGAUUUAUCGGUGUACGAUGGGGAUGCGUUCCAUUAGGUAGUAGGCGGGGUAACGGCCCACCUAGCCAACGAUGGAUAGGGGUUCUGAGAGGAAGGUCCCCCACAUUGGAACUGAGACACGGUCCAAACUCCUACGGGAGGCAGCAGUGAGGAAUAUUGGUCAAUGGACGAGAGUCUGAACCAGCCAAGUAGCGUGAAGGAUGAAGGUCCUACGGAUUGUAAACUUCUUUUAUAAGGGAAUAAACCCUCCCACGUGUGGGAGCUUGUAUGUACCUUAUGAAUAAGCAUCGGCUAACUCCGUG